GAUGAACGCUGGCGGCGUGCCUAAUACAUGCAAGUCGAGCGAACGGACGAGAAGCUUGCUUCUCUGAUGUUAGCGGCGGACGGGUGAGUAACACGUGGAUAACCUACCUAUAAGACUGGGAUAACUUCGGGAAACCGUAGCUAAUACCGGAUAAUAUUUUGAACCGCAUGGUUCAAAAGUGAAAGACGGUCUUGCUGUCACUUAUAGAUGGAUCCGCGCUGCAUUAGCUAGUUGGUAAGGUAACGGCUUACCAAGGCAACGAUGCAUAGCCGACCUGAGAGGGUGAUCGGCCACACUGGAACUGAGACACGGUCCAGACUCCUACGGGAGGCAGCAGUAGGGAAUCUUCCGCAAUGGGCGAAAGCGUGACGGAGCAACGCCGCGUGAGUGAUGAAGGUCUUCGGAUCGUAAAACUCUGUUAUUAGGGAAGAACAUAUGUGUAAGUAACUGUGCACAUCUUGACGGUACCUAAUCAGAAAGCAACGGCUAACUACGUG
Molecule: ribosomal RNA, 497 nt
Filed under: uncultured bacterium
Lineage: Bacteria
Description: partial 16S ribosomal RNA
Rfam family: Bacterial small subunit ribosomal RNA
Source: RNAcentral